Molecule: transfer RNA, 58 nt
Filed under: Dipodomys ordii (Ord's kangaroo rat)
Lineage: Eukaryota; Metazoa; Chordata; Mammalia; Rodentia; Heteromyidae
Rfam family: tRNA
About the family: Transfer RNA (tRNA) molecules are approximately 80 nucleotides in length. Their secondary structure includes four short double-helical elements and three loops (D, anti-codon, and T loops). Further hydrogen bonds mediate the characteristic L-shaped molecular structure. tRNAs have two regions of fundamental functional importance: the anti-codon, which is responsible for specific mRNA codon recognition, and the 3' end, to which the tRNAs corresponding amino acid is attached (by aminoacyl-tRNA synthetases). tRNAs cope with the degeneracy of the genetic code in two manners: having more than one tRNA (with a specific anti-codon) for a particular amino acid; and 'wobble' base-pairing, i.e. permitting non-standard base-pairing at the 3rd anti-codon position.
Source: Rfam by way of RNAcentral
UGGCUCAGUGGUAGAGUGCUUGCCUCGCAAGCAUGAGGCCCUGGGUUUGAUUCCUCAG